CCUACGGGAGGCAGCAGUGGGGAAUCUUGCGCAAUGGGCGAAAGCCUGACGCAGCAACGCCGCGUGCGGGAUGAAGGCCUUCGGGUUGUAAACCGCUUUUAACAGGAACGAAAAUGACGGUACCUGUAGAAUAAGGUGCGGCCAACUACGUGCCAGCAGCCGCGGUGACACGUAGGCACCAAGCGUUGUCCGGAUUUAUUGGGCGUAAAGAGCUCGUAGGCGGUUCGAUAAGUCGGGUGUGAAAACUCUGGGCUUAACCCAGAGACGCCACUCGAUACUAUUGUGACUAGAGUUCGGUAGGGGAGCGGGGAAUUCCUAGUGUAGCGGUGAAAUGCGCAGAUAUUAGGAGGAACACCGGUGGCGAAGGCGCCGCUCUGGGCCGAAACUGACGCUGAGGAGCGAAAGCGUGGGUAGCAAACAGGAUUAGAUACCCUGGUAGUCCACGCCGUAAACGGUGGGCACUAGGUGUGGGCUCCAACCAACGGAGUCCGCGCCGUCGCUAACGCAUUAAGUGCCCCGCCUGGGGAGUACGGCCGCAAGGUUAAAACCUUAAAGGAAUUGACGG
RNAcentral lists this ribosomal RNA (565 nucleotides) under uncultured bacterium. RNAcentral's name for it is "bacterial SSU rRNA". It matches the Rfam family "Bacterial small subunit ribosomal RNA", at positions 338 to 916 of the family's 1533-position model. The record is from RNAcentral.